ACUGUGGCUUAGUGGAAGAGCCUCUGCUUUGCAUGCAGAAAGUCCCUAGUUCAAUCUUUGGAAUCUAUA
Molecule: transfer RNA, 69 nt
Filed under: Sphaerodactylus townsendi
Lineage: Eukaryota; Metazoa; Chordata; Lepidosauria; Squamata; Sphaerodactylidae
Description: tRNA-Ala
Source: RNAcentral